GCUUUCCCCAGGUCAGUUGGUAAAGUUUCUGCUUCGCAUCCCGAUGGUCGCCGGUUCGAGCCCGGCUGCGCGCG
This is a non-coding RNA of Saprolegnia parasitica CBS 223.65, 74 nucleotides long. The record is from the annotation of a RefSeq genome assembly. Lineage: Eukaryota; Oomycota; Saprolegniomycetes; Saprolegniales; Saprolegniaceae.